This 319-nucleotide ribosomal RNA is filed under the name uncultured bacterium. RNAcentral describes it as "bacterial SSU rRNA". It matches the Rfam family "Bacterial small subunit ribosomal RNA", at positions 8 to 334 of the family's 1533-position model. The record is from RNAcentral.
AGGGUUUGAUUAUGGCUCAGAACGAACGCUGGCGGCAUGGAUUAGGCAUGCAAGUCGAACGGUACAGCAAUGUACAGUGGCGCAAGGGUGAGGAACGCGUGAGUAACCUACCCUCAAGUUGGGAACAGCUCCUGGAAACGGGAAUUAAUACCGAAUGUGACCAUUAAGAGGCAUCUUUUGAUGGUUGAAGGCCGCAAGGUCGCUUGAGGAGGGGCUCGCGUCCCAUUAGCUAGUUGGUGAGGUAACGGCCCACCAAGGCCAUGAUGGGUAGCUGGUCUGAGAGGACGAUCAGCCACACUGGGACUGAGAUACUGCCCAG